AGAUUAAGUUAUUAAGGGCGCACGGUGGAUGCCUUGGCACUAGAAGCCGAUGAAGGACGUUACUAACGACGAUAUGCUUUGGGGAGCUGUAAGUAAGCUUUGAUCCAGAGAUUUCCGAAUGGGGAAACCCAACAUGAGUUAUGUCAUGUUAUCGAUAUGUGAAUACAUAGCAUAUCAGAAGGCACACCCGGAGAAC
RNAcentral lists this ribosomal RNA (196 nucleotides) under Staphylococcus aureus. RNAcentral's name for it is "partial 23S ribosomal RNA". It matches the Rfam family "Bacterial large subunit ribosomal RNA", at positions 1 to 193 of the family's 2925-position model. The record is from RNAcentral. Lineage: Bacteria; Bacillati; Bacillota; Bacilli; Caryophanales; Staphylococcaceae.